Molecule: small nucleolar RNA, 137 nt
Organism: Chlorocebus sabaeus (green monkey)
Lineage: Eukaryota; Metazoa; Chordata; Mammalia; Primates; Cercopithecidae
Gene: SNORA31B
Product: small nucleolar RNA, H/ACA box 31B
Source: Ensembl
AUGCAUCUAUCUGACAGACCGGGAGCAGUUAUACUACCUGCUGCUAAGGUUUCCACUACAGAUGCAAGAAAAACAUGUCCUUGCGCUUUCCGUCUGUCUAAUUUGUGGCAGCUGAGAUUGAAUAGAGGAAUACAGGG